UACUGCAUCAGUUCUAAACUGAUAAUAUUGGUUCCAGAUCUGGAUACUUCAACUGUUUGUUUUAAUUAAUAUAAUAUAUGCAAAAAUUUCAAAAGCAAGAAUUGGUAACUAAAUACUGGAGUUUCUGACACUGACUACAGAGUUCUUGCUGAAGGUUGAUCUCUCUCUCAAAAAUUAAAAUCACUUGGCAACAACAGACACGCAACCAGCAACUUGUCAAGUUUCAGCACAUAUUCACUGAAUAUGAAAAUCGGCAUUCUCAUACAUCUCUAUGCACAGGAACAAAAAGAAUAAAGCUGCAAAUACAUCUGUCCAGCAUAACAGAAGGACAAUGCUUCAACAUGUAGCCAAUGCUUUUUCUCAUACAUUCUGUUUCACUUGGACUUCCACAAAUUCAUCUCUAUGAUUGUACAUUA
Molecule: long non-coding RNA, 416 nt
Organism: Rosa chinensis
Lineage: Eukaryota; Viridiplantae; Streptophyta; Magnoliopsida; Rosales; Rosaceae
Exons: 3
Source: RefSeq, a predicted model, not a curated record